UCCUUUUUUUCCUGCCAUUCUUUUGUAGUAAUUGCUGUUUGAUAAAAGUGGCUGUAUAAUUUUUUAUUAGAUAAGUAGUAAAUCCUUCAAUUAUUGUUGGACUUGGUGAAGUAAAACAUUUGUAGAGUUUGGAUUCUUUCAUUUUCAGCACAAAGUGACUGUUGAGCUAACACUAAAUAAUGUGUUGGCAAUACUUUCCAAAUGGCUAGAAGUUGUUUAUUCAGAAGUGUCUGUCACUACUUUGUUGCCAAAACUCCAUU
Molecule: long non-coding RNA, 260 nt
Filed under: Marmota monax (woodchuck)
Lineage: Eukaryota; Metazoa; Chordata; Mammalia; Rodentia; Sciuridae
Source: RNAcentral